RNAcentral lists this transfer RNA (83 nucleotides) under Candidatus Omnitrophota bacterium. RNAcentral's name for it is "tRNA-Leu". It matches the Rfam family "tRNA". From Rfam's summary of the family: Transfer RNA (tRNA) molecules are approximately 80 nucleotides in length. Their secondary structure includes four short double-helical elements and three loops (D, anti-codon, and T loops). The record is from RNAcentral. Lineage: Bacteria; Pseudomonadati; Candidatus Omnitrophota.
GCCGGAGUGGCGGAAUGGCAGACGCGGUAGCCUCAAAAGCUAUUGAGGGCAACCUCAUGGGGGUUCAAGUCCCUUCUCCGGCA